This 298-nucleotide long non-coding RNA is filed under the name Elaeis guineensis (African oil palm). Its description in RNAcentral is "long non-coding RNA (EGUI_LNC061443)". Lineage: Eukaryota; Viridiplantae; Streptophyta; Magnoliopsida; Arecales; Arecaceae. The record is from RNAcentral.
GCUCCCUUCAAAUCAUCCCUGUCUUCGUCCCUCUGGUCCCUCAGAGCGAUCUAGGUUAGUUCCAGCACCUUCAUCUUUCUUCCCGCCGCUUAGGGACCUCUUCUUUGCCAUUAUUUUUUGUAUUCCUCCGAGUUAGUUUCCUGUGACCUCUCGCCCCUCAUCCUGUCCGUCUUCUUCAGGAUCUUUAGAGCCCUCAUUCGAAGCUACUCAAAAUGUCAUCCGGCUCUUCUGCUCCCUGCAGUUUCGGGAGUUCUUCCGCCUCAAACCCCCAGGUCUCUUGCUCUGUAGACGAACCUGC